UUCCUCUCUCGUCUUCCUCCCCACGCCACGCCACGCCUCGCCACCGCGCGCACGCUGCCACCCCCUGUGCGGCGGCCAUCGCCGUCGCGCGCGAUCGCUCGAUCUCUUCCUCCCCCGCGCGACGCGACGCGACGUCUCGCCACCGCGCGUUCGUCGCUCCGACCAGAUCAUGGAGUCCUCGUACUACUCCAUCCGCGCGCGGCGGCCGUCGAUGGCUGCAAUUCGUACCUCCACGCCGACGAGAACGGGCGGUCCGUCUACCACGGCAACCUGCGCGGCGGGGGCGGCGCCUCGCUGCACAACGCGGUGUGGGCCGUAGAGGAGGUGGUCGCCGGGGGGCACCCCACGCGGUACGUGCUCCUCCGCGGCGCCUACGGCCGCUACCUCGGGUCCCCCGACUCCCCCAAGGCCCCGACCGCGAGCGCGACCGCUGCUGCUCGCUCGAGGCAGCACAGCGCGACCGCGACCGCGACCGCGACGUGCUGGAUCAGGUCGUCCGGGCGCUACCUGUGCGGCAACCAGACCUUCCUGGCUCGCCGCCCUGGCGUCUCCGUCGACGGCGACGUCGACAACGAAACGACGCUGAGGUGGGAGGUGGUGCGUGUCACCCCGAGUCAAGGCAGGCCUGAGCUCCCGAUCGCCACUGAGGUGAGAUCCUCCUACCCCUCAUCUCUCCUGAUCCCCUCCUCGGCUAAGGUUGUGAUUGGAACUAGCGCUAUCCGAGCCCAAAAGCCAAGCAUCACAAUCAGAGGUCUCUUCCUGCAAUUCUUGUGUUUGUGUUGUGUCCUUUAUGCAAUUAUACAACAGGAGGAUUCUUCUGGUUCUAGUUGAAGAAGUCUUGAUGAUGAUUGAUUGGGUCGGAGAUUAAUCUUUAACCAUGUAACAAUCUGUGAAUUUUUUUUUGUCAAAUUCACAGAGAUUGAAGAAAAAUUAGACAAUGACAAUGAGAGCAACGGAAGAGAGCAACUUGCAGACAGCUGCCAGUUAUUAGUAUCUAAUUAAUUGUUACAAAUUAGACAGAUAUAAGCUGUGGUGCUCUGAUUUACUUAUUCUGCCAUUCCAAUCUAAAUUGUACUUGUCCAAUUGAAAAUUUUG
This 1095-nucleotide long non-coding RNA is filed under the name Oryza sativa Indica Group (long-grained rice). RNAcentral describes it as "lncRNA OsLima_08g0004210". The record is from RNAcentral. Lineage: Eukaryota; Viridiplantae; Streptophyta; Magnoliopsida; Poales; Poaceae.